RNAcentral lists this ribosomal RNA (492 nucleotides) under uncultured bacterium. RNAcentral's name for it is "partial 16S ribosomal RNA". It matches the Rfam family "Bacterial small subunit ribosomal RNA", at positions 29 to 507 of the family's 1533-position model. The record is from RNAcentral.
AGUGAACGCUGGCGGUAGGCCUAACACAUGCCGGUCGAACGGCAGCACAGUAAGAGCUUGCUCUUACGGGUGGCGAGUGGCGGACGGGUGAGGAAUACAUCGGAAUCUACUUUUUCGUGGGGGAUAACGUAGGGAAACUUACGCUAAUACCGCAUACGACCUACGGGUGAAAGCAGGGGAUCUUCGGACCUUGCGCGAUUGAAUGAGCCGAUGUCGGAUUAGCUAGUUGGCGGGGUAAAGGCCCACCAAGGCGACGAUCCGUAGCUGGUCUGAGAGGAUGAUCAGCCACACUGGAACUGAGACACGGUCCAGACUCCUACGGGAGGCAGCAGUGGGGAAUAAUGGACAAUGGGCGCAAGCCUGAUCCAGCCAUACCGCGUGGGUGAAGAAGGCCUUCGGGUUGUAAAGCCCUUUUGUUGGGAAAGAAAAGCAGCAGGUUAAUACCCCGCUGUUCUGACGGUACCCAAAGAAUAAGCACCGGCUAACUUCGUG